RNAcentral lists this long non-coding RNA (1168 nucleotides) under Homo sapiens (human). RNAcentral describes it as "HSALNT0318181". Lineage: Eukaryota; Metazoa; Chordata; Mammalia; Primates; Hominidae. The record is from RNAcentral.
GGCCGGUCGGGGCUGGGCUCGGGGGCCGAGACCUAGCUGGGCUUGGGGCGGGGCCGAGACGGAGCGAGGGGUCCAGGGUGUGGGAAACGGGGAGGGAUUUGAGGAGGGGAUCGGAAUGUGGCUCCAGUUCGGGAGGCGUUACCUGCGGAGGGUUUGAGGAAGGCCCAGGAGCGAGCCCAUGGUCUUCCGACGCGGGGCCAGGGGCGGGCCCCAGGAUCCGGAGCUUCGGGGGGGCCGAGUCCGGGUUUGGGGCCCGGGAGGCGGGGCCAGUUAGGUCGAGGGUCCCUGGGAUCGUCGGGUCAGGCCUUGGGCUAACGUAGGCACUCUCGCAGUUCCUCCGCCUUCAGGAAGGUCUUUUUAGCAGGGGCCUUACGGGUGCAUGCUUCGGUCCUGGAGGACUUAGGCUAGCCUCCUCUCCAUCAGCGCCACCCGUCUGGGGCCCGAAAGGAGGGAGCUUUCCCUCUGUCCCCCAGCCUUUGGACUGUCACCAAACAAGCCAUUCGUUCACCAAAUACUUUUUAAGCGCCUACCAUGUGCCUGACAAGGGAUAUGUAACGGUGAGAAAAACUAGGUGUGGUCCAGGCCCUUCAGGGACUCAGGGGCUCGUGGAAGAAGUGGAUAUUGAAGUACUUAUCACACAAAGGAGGAUAAAAGUACGAUAGCGAUAUCUACCACGAAGCUGUUGUUCCACACCAGAACCAAAUGAGCGCAAGAUCUGACAAAAAAAAAAGGUUCAUCUUUUAUUCUUCCAAACACUUUCAUUUAAAUCAAGAGGAUGGGAUGUGGUUAUUACUGUGUUUUUAGACAAAAUCAAUGGUUUCUGGCUCUGAGAUGUUGCAUACACCCUCUCAGUCCCUGUAUCCUGAGAUGGAGUCACCUGAGAAUCCACAGCAAGUCCUAACCAGGGAUGGGUCUGGGUGAUUAAGGAAGAUUGGCUUCAGAACUGGGCCAGGGGCACUGCUUUGCUUUUGCUGUUUUGAUCAGCUCUCUGCCUGCAGGAGACGAGGAAAACCAAUGGGAACAGCUGGGGAAACUGAGUUACAGAGCUUUUCUGCACUGAGUCAUCAGGAGCAAAUGCUAGAUCAGGCCAGAGUGCAGUUGACGCAGAGCAGGGGAGCCCUGAAAUGGAGCAUAGUGUGUCCGGAACUGGUGGGUUCUUGGUCUCACU